CAGUUGCGCUUCAGCAUUAGACCAAAGUAGUUUGACUUUUUAGUUUUUAGCCGCGAAGCGAAUAGUAUAUACGUGGCUCUGUGUGUGUGUGCGGUGUGUGUUGUGGCAGCUGCACUUGCAGCGAGAGACAGAAAUACAUUUCGUACAAAAUUCCGCCCUGCAUUUAGUAUAUUUCACCUUAGAGCGUCUUUGCCACACACACACUUGUUACCACUCACACACUGGCAAGCGAGAACAAGACACACACGUGGCCAUCAAAGCGGUAUCGGUUCGCGUCGCGUUUGGCCUAAAAUUGUAACAGUUUUCCUUUUACAACAACGAAGAAUACCAGAAGAAGCAAAGCCAAAAACGCAGCUGCAGUUGACGUCGACGCAGUGUUAGCUGCUGCCAUCGCUGCUGCAGUCGCCGACGUCCGUUUCUGUUUGGCCCAUUGCCGUUGGCCAGCUUCAGUGUUCAUUUCCCCAUCGAGUCGGCAACAACGAGCGGAAGUCGCAGAGGCCCACAGCCAACGAACAGUCGAUCGAUCCCCAGCUGAACAGCUGAUUAACUGCGUACCCCCACCCCCUCCCGUCCCCACAACCCAUAGUGUGAUUUUGUACCCCUGGAUUGCAUAAACCCACAAGCAGAAACGGAAACAGCAAUACACCAGCACCAACACUAAGCUAAACCCUCAUCAAAAUCCAAAAACCAAGCGGGUCUUGGCUUUUUCGGUGGCGUAUACGUAAUAUCAGUCGACUAGCUGCACAUCUGCCAUUGCAAUUGCGAUUCUCUGGGCAUUAUGCAAUGGCACAACAAAGAGGCACCCUGUAAUUCAAGCAACAACAACACAAAAACAAUAGAAGUGCAAUGCGAACACAUUUUCGCUAACUCACACACACAUUGUCAAGCAGUUUUUUUGUGUGUCUAGUCGGGCAAUUUGUUUAAAACAAUCAGCUGCCUUUUUGCUUUCGUUCGCACAGCGGCAGUUUUAAAUUUAGUAUCGCUGCAGUCGCUUGUAACCCAAAUUUUUUGCAUCCCUCUCUCUCUCUCAUUUGCUGUGCAAAUCGUUUUCAUCAUCUUAUAUAAGAAAUGAAGCUCAAAAUACCCCGGAUUUAAUUGUGGAAUAGGUUAUAGACGCUUGACAAGUAAAAAUCUUAAUUAAAGCCCGACUUGCGGCGACUUGAAAGUGUGGAUAAAUUCAGGCAAGGCAAUUAAAUCGGAGGCACUUGCAAUCCGAGAGCAACAACUCAUACUCAGUCACUUGACCUUGCACAGUUUUCGCCAUGCGAGCGCACAGUAUGCAGUAUAUAGUACAUAUACGUACCGUGGGCCCACAUACAUAUACACAUGUACAUAUGUAUGUGUAGGGGUACACACAAAGCAAAUUGCAAUAUUUUGUGUAAAAAUAACGAACAGACUUUUACAUAAGGCCAUCGUUUACAUAGAGAAGCACAAAAAUUUACACACAGUCGAAUCGCCAUUCACCUGCUGUGGUGUGCGUGUGUGGAUGUGUUAUGUGGGUGGGUGUUAUGAGGUCGAUUUUUGUUAUUUUUCCCCCUUACUCGUGUGGGUGGAUGACUGAAAAAUGCAUUUGACACAGAAAACAGGCGUGCAAACACAAACAGAUAUAGAAGAGGCAGAUAUUUCCAAAGCCAAUGCAAAUUCAAAACGAAUAGAAACCAAUGAGGAAUCAGCUUAUCUUGACCAGAGAAAUACGAAAAUAUUUCAGUGAUUCAUGGCGAAAAUCCCCGUUUGAUUGAUUUGAUGUCAAGAUGAAGUGGCAAAAAAAUACCAGUUUAAAGCUUAUUUUAGCCUUCUGAAAAUUGAACAAAAACUUAUUUAGAUGUUUUUGUACAAAAUCCCUGCAGGUUUUUUUUUUUAAAUAAUUCAUGCAUUUCUCAAUUGGACUUUGAAGUCUGUUUCGUCUUAUAAACACAGAAUGUUGAAUUUAUAAAUAGCUAUAUACUUUGUUUUUAUAAACAUUUGCCAGAGUGCCGCGAAUUUUUGUUGAAUUAACAGUUGGAUUUUGGACCUUAACUGAUAUCAGCAGCCAGAACCAGCAGACUGAAUUUAUCAUCACUAUAUACGUAAACGUGUGUAUUAUGACAUCAUCGUUGGCGGCAUUCUGUGAUGGAUCACUGACUGCCUGACAUACGUAUAUAGUUAGUUAGCUCUACUUAUAUCGUCUUAGACCUCCAAUUUGUCAGUAUACCAGACUAUAGUGAUUAGCACUUGCUGAUAAGCUAGAUUUGUUCAUAUAGAGUUGAAAAAACCCAAAUGAAUCACGUGUUUUACACAACUAUUUUAAAGUUUCGAAAUAUAUUUUUCUUUAAAUGAAAUACGUACAUAUAUAUGGCGAAAUGUUUGGUUGCCUUUUGGCUAACAGCAGCGACCUUCAGCCCGGACCGCAAGGUCGUUCGUGGUGAGAUGAGAAUGCAGCAGCCUGCAAACUACUCCGCAUAGAGGUCGAUCUGCCACCCAACGCUAUGGCAGUUAUAUAAAGGGGAAAUUGGGUCAGUGUUAUGACCCAGUUUCUUGGAAGGAUAUGGAGUUGGAUAGUAGGAAGCUAACCCCCUGCCAUUUGCAGUUUGAUUAGUUUGUAAUGGGCUUUUUGGCACCUUCGAUAAUUACAAUUGGAUGGGCUUCGUGACGCCGCCUAUUGAUUUUUAGUCAGGCCGUCAGCUUAUAUAUGUAUAUAGUAUAGCCAACCUAGAUAACUUUUGCCCCAGAGUAUGAGUAUGGGUAUGGGCAUGGGUAUCUAUUGGAUACACGGCACCAUCCAUGGCCUGGCUGCAGUCGUGAGCUUAGCCAAGGAGCCAAAAAUAAAAAUUCUCUUUUGGCUGCGUGCCAAUUGCAGUGCACAUUGGAUUCGCAAGGGUGUGGAUUGGAGGGCGGUUCAAUUGCAGGCGAAAAUGAAAAGUGAAAUGUUGCCAUGCUAAAACCGAACCAAAAAAAAAAACAAAAUAGCAAGGAGGCGAGAGGCAGAGCUGCAGGGAAAUUUAUCUAUAUUUAUUUGCCAGAAUGCUGACAUUUAUUAGCUUUUCCCGUUGAAUUAAUUCAAAAAGUGCUCUAUAAAUAUGGCUAAAGUGCUGUCCGAUGACAAAUUUAUGGCAGACUGCAUAACUCAUCUAUUACCCACUUUCGAGCCAUCUAUUUCUUUGUGUGUUGCAACUGCAAUGCACUCUUGUGUGUCAUUUGCGCCUGCCACUUAUUACAUCACCGAGUAGGCAAGAAAUACACGAUAGGCACCCAUUCGUAAGGCCUAUAGCUUAUGGCCUAUUACGAUGUGGGUCGACCUGAGCCUGCCUGCCUGCCUGCCUGUCUGCUGCCAACAAAUCUUCACACAAACAAGCGCCCUCUCACAGACACUCGGCUUUAUCGAUGUCUUUUCGGCCAAGUGGCAGUCCGUUUGUUGUUCUUUGCCAAACAGUUUAAACUUUGAUAAAUUCAGUCGUCAGUAAUUCAGGGAAAGUUUCUCAAAGUAUCUGCAUUAUUUAGCUUUACCGACAAAAGUUUUAAGUUCAGAUUCCUAGAAGGCAAAUAAGUUCUAAAAGCAAAAUCUGCAUAUUGCUAUACAUUUUAGAUAGAUUUCGAUCUAUUCUCCCUUCACACACAUUUCCAAGUAUCAAAUGUUUCGAUGGGGGACCUUCCCCCAUUUCCCCAAUUUUUCUUUCAUACGCACGCAGCGCCGAUCUUGUGAUCUUUUGGAAGGUAUCACGCCUUUAACGCAUGACUCAGUUCGUGUUUUGUUCUUUUUAAUUUUAGACGAACAAAACCAAAAGCUAAAAAACGUAUGCUUGAAUAGCGUUCGUCAUUAGUUGGCUGCUGCGUCAAUUGUUGGCUCUGUUAUUUAUACAUAUAAAUGCCGCUGGGGCAGCCACGUAAAUUGUGACGGAAAGCGAGAUAAUUUGAUGGAAUUUCUUACUUCCUAAGCUAAUCGCACGGGCUACACAUUUUCAUAUCGUUCUGUUGCCAGGCGAGCGAUCGAUUUCCGAAAAUUGCUGACGAGAAACGCCCGAAAUCGGAAAUCAUUCACAAAAAUUUGUAGUCAGACCAAGGGCUGUCUUACGUUUUCGACUUGUCUGGCUGUUGUUGUUUUCCGUCUGCAGAUAAAGAAUCGAAUAGCAAACAGUCCGCGUCUGUGAUUACGUAUACGCAGUGUUCGCCCACCGAUAGGUUUCGCCUCCUUUGCGGGUGCGCGCGUGCUUCGGCCUACGAAAUUUCAUGGAUGUAUCUGUAUCUGAGUCAGUCGAGUGUGUAUUUAGCAGAUAAUAAGUGGCAGAGUCAGCGUGCGUGUUUUUUAUUUUGAACGGCUGAUCAUGCGACCCAACGAAACGAAAGGCAGGGUAACGCUCUGUUUGAUACACUUUCAAUGGAUAUAGCGGCUUUAUCAGUCAUUUUAUUUCCAAAUUAAGUUUUUGUUGUAUAGCAAAACUUGUAUGUUGUCUUAGCGCAUAGGUUUAAUUGAACAUGGGGAUUCCACCUUCAUAUUUAACGAUAUUCUUUAGCUCGUGCAAUUCCUGCUCGGCCAAGUCAAACCGUAAUUUAUUUAGGUAGCGUUAGUUUGGUAACACUUCGGGUCACUUCCGGUGACGACAACUUCUUCGAAACUCUGUUUUCUGGCACUGGCAGCUUUUAUGACCCAGAUAAAAGUAAACGUGUUGGCCAGCACGAUGUUGGAAGGGGGUAGGGUCUUAGGAACCGAGGAGGGGCCAAUGGUUCAUGAAGUGCUAAUGAAAAAUGCUCAGCAUUUGCCUAAUGAAAUUAUAACUGAGCCACUAAGUGGGCCAUAAAGAGGAGCGUUGAGCCAAGGGGGUAUUGAGGAGAGAAGGUGUUUUGGGGCAUUUUAGAAAUUUUUCAUUCAACUGCCAGGUCGACCAUGUAACCCAUUUAACGCACAUGGAACCGAGCGAUUUGACUGGCACAUGGAAGCACAUUUGGUUUCUUUAUUCAGUUAACGCUUUGUAAGCUCAUGAGCUAGCUUUUCAUUUAUCAAUACACACUUGCGCACAUACAGCGACACAAAUGAACAAUAAUUUAUUUAAUUGCCCAAGAGCUCUUGUUCUUUCGAAAUUAGAACACUCGCACACACAUUGCACUGCUGGCUGGCACGCGAUUAAAAACUAAAUGGUUACACACACAUUAUGAAUUUUACAAGCUAAAACUGUUUAUUAUCUGCCAGAUAUUUCAAUCCAACUAUAUAUGUAUGUACGGGCAUGUGUAUGCAUAUGGAUGACACAUCGCGUAUACGCAGCGUGUUCGUUGAGUUCCUUAAUUGCGAAAAUUCAGUUUUGCGUUGCUCUCCACUCGAAAUAUAAUGGCUAUGGAUUUUGUUCUGCAAUCAUUGUUAGCAUUGGUCUUGCUCCUUCACUUCUUGCCGUUUUUUGCUUGCUGGGCCCAAUGCCUGCUCAAUGUUUUGGCCUCGUUUUUGGAUUUAUUUUUUUCUGCUUAUGCGCCACACCUCCGAGAGUUAAGUAAAAAGCAGCCAAGCAAGUCGAAAUCGAAGGCUGCAUUUGCCAAACUGUGCCUGUUUUGCCAGAAUUCAAAUGAAUCUCUGCUCCAGAAAACAUUGGGAACUGUUCACAUGCGCUUUCAAAAUUCGGCAACGGAUUAUUUUUUGAGCAAUCAGUUUAUAAUCGCCCUUCUUAUCUUAUCUGCCCCUUGGAAAGUGGGUUGCCAGGGCAUUUUCAUUUCAUUCCAUUUCCGCCCAGCUCUUACCAGCUUAAAUUACGCUGCCCGAUGGGCCGGAGCAUAAAAACUCAGUUCGAUUGACAUUUUGUGACACAAAAACGACUUGUAUAACCGUUCGGCGAUCGACGAUUCACAAUCAUCGAUCCGCAUCGACCCACUUUGUGACACACACCCUUUUGGAGCCCACAUACUAACCUUAUCGCCCCGAUCCGCCGCUGGCUAAGGUUUAUCACUAUCAGCUGCGCACCUUGGCACCUGCGACGAGUGCUUAUCAGCUGUUUGGUGAUCGGGUUCCCAGCUAGCUCAUGGUUCAUUGUACUCGGCUUCACAGUCCGGGUCACACUCCAGUUUCCACCGCACUUUUGUUCUGCAUGAGCCCUCUUUUGUUUCUUUGGAGUUGCACCUUCGAUUUCUGUUCUUUGUCAUAUCCAAUCACCAAGUAAUAGCCAUCCAGGAGAUCGAUAGACUGCCCCACAGAAAUACAAUGAAAAACUUACGCCGCGCCGUGCCGAAUAUGAUUUAUGGUUUUUGUUUCAGUUGAAAAUAUAUAUAUAUACAUAUAUAACGAGGCCUAACGAUAAAAUGCAUCCUUUGAAGGUUUUGGGCUGCGUGUCAGGAGUGCAUUUGCACUGAAACUAUCUGAAGCAUGUAAAUGCACUAUCUGGUACGACAUUCCAGAACGUACAAUCUUCCCGAAUGCAGGAAAAUGCGAUAAAUGAAAUAUGCAAUUUUUGUGAUAGUGUGAAAUACUGAUUCUCAAACUGAUUUUUAAAAGAAAUAGCAAUAAAUAAGUUUACUCUUAAGCUAACCACUUGUUUGUAAGACACUGUUUUUAAAUAAAGAAUACAAUAAAAUAUGGAAUAUCUUCUAUGAAGAGUUUUCAACUGUAUAUCAAUACGAUGUUGUUUUAUUCUACUUUUUCUGCCAAGAGGGAAUAUUUAAGGGCAGCCAACACAAUUAACCGUGGAAAAGCACCGAGAUGAGACCUUCGGGAGCAAGGUUUCCCAGCCACGACAUCGUGCAGCUUGCGAUGACCUUGAGCGCUUCAACUCUAAUUGGCACAAUUAUAAUGAUUGCAGUUGUGCCACGGAGGUUUUUAAUUUGGCUUGCGCACACACUCGUCUAUUACUUAUAACGAAAAUUGUUUAUUUUGAAAACAAAAAGCUAACAUUGCAUAUUUUACAGCGCUAUGAUUUUGACCACUCUUGCCACGCCCCCACCGCUGCCGCCCACAAGAGCUUUUGACGACACGCAGCGUAGCAUAAAAAGCAGCAUACCGUGGAAAUCACCCCCCCCCACCCCAUCACACAUUGGCCAGAAGGUGGCGCUCGAUGCGACAAAAAAGCUCCCCCAAAACUGAAGUUGGUCGCAAAACAUCCGCAAGAUGGUGAAGCUAAAGCGAAUUUGGCUUCUGCACAAGAUAUUCAAAAGUAACCGUUACACACGACUAUUCUCAAUCAAGGAGAAUUAACCAAAUUAGUGAAUUAAUCCAAACAAGUAUUCUUAAUUGGCUAUGCGCUUUGGCAGUGUGGUUAGCUGGUUGUGUAGCCAAUUAUUGCCGUUGACAAUUCACAGCCACUAUCUUCACUGCCGCCGCGACAAGCUAAAGCAACUUAUAAAGGACAUGGCGGAGGAACUGGCUCAUAAUCACAUCGGAUUGUCUGGAAUCUCGUCUAGCACUAGGAAAGAUUUUAGAAAAUGUAGGACCUGUAUCAGAUGGUUAUGGCAGUAGUUAUCAUAUCUAUAAUCUAUUAAAAUAUUUAAAGAAAAUCAUUCACAAUACAUGAAUAUAUAAAUAGCUUAAAUUCCUUUUAGUCGGAAAACUUUAGUUUGGCAACUGCUCAACCAGACGCCUGAACAACGAAUUAAGGAUAUCCAGAUAAUAAUGAAUCAAUUAUAAAGAUUAACCCGCACUAAUUCAUGAAG
Non-coding RNA from Drosophila melanogaster (fruit fly), 7596 nucleotides. The record is from Ensembl. NCBI's taxonomy places the organism in Eukaryota, Metazoa, Arthropoda, Insecta, Diptera, Drosophilidae.